UAGCAUCGGUCCACUAAACACCGACGCUUGAAGUGUUGUUUUUAGCGACGCCACGUCUUUAUGCGUAGUAACAGAUAUUUUGCUGUAGAAUCAAUUAGUCAUACCUCCCUGAGAGAAUCAUUUAGAAGAUAUAUAAUUUCUUUCAUCCUGAUUUCUCGAUCUCAAUUGCUAAUUUUGGAGGAAUCUCAAUUACUAAUCUCGACUGGCGAUUCGCUAAUCUCUAAUCUCGACCGCUACUCUGUUGUGCUCUCUGUUGUACUUUGCUUGUUCUUUCCUGGGAUUGCUAGGUUUCAAUUUGUCCGGUUGUGAAAUUAGGGUUCUUUGUUGGGUUUCUAGUAUGUGAAAUUAGGGUUCUUUGUUGGGUUUCUGGUAAAUCUCAAGAACAGGGGUCCUUUUACUUGCCAAAUCAGGCGUAUCACUUUGGUAAUCACCUGGCACCUCAAUCUCCACAGCAGCAGCUUCACAGCCUCCUAGGUCAUCAAAUCUCAGUACCCAAACUCGAACCGGGUAGACGCAACCUAACUUUGCAGAUUUUAAUUCGAUAGUUUGGCAUCAUCCAACAACAGUCUCGAUUUUGUCAGGUUUUAUAAUUGAGAAGGUAGCAGCUUUUGUUGAAAUCCAUGAUAUUGCUGGGCUUGUUAAAGGUGCUCAUGAAGGUCAAGGACUUGGGAACAAUUUUUUGUCUCACAUCCGUGCAGUUGAUGGCAUUUUCCAUGUCUCGCGGAUCAAAGGCCACCUCUUACUUUUUCCUCACUGGUUCAGUUUAUCUUGCUGGCACUUGUUGGAAUCACUGCAAUAACCUUUGUCAUGGCUUCUGAUCUAAGGCAAUAUUAAAUAAUAAAAAAGGUUAAAAUUAUGAGGAUGGAUGGCUUGGCCAAAAUUCUUGGAACAAAUGCUAGCAUAGGAGGUGCAACAAUCAUUACCCUGUGUAAAGGUCCUCCUCCGCUACACAACCAGCAGUCACAGCAACCACUAGAAAUUCAUUCCCUAGCCAAUAAAACAUAGAACUAUACGUGGGGUUGUAUAUACAUUCUUGGACACUUCUUAUCAUGGGCUGGUUGGAUGGUGUUUGAGGCUCCAGUGGUGAGGAAGUAUCAAGCUAAACUAUCACUGACAUCAUUUACAUGCUUUUUUUGACUGACUACUUCUGUUCUUAAUAAUAGCAGCCUUUUUCGAAAGGGAUCCCAAUAAUCGGCAAAUCAAGUCAGGGGAGGAAAUGUUAUAUGCUGUAAGUGCUUUUGUAACAUCAUAUACGUGUGUAUUAUUCAUUUGAAUAUAUACAUGUAAUAAAUUACUAUUAUGAAAGAAUCAUGGUUGUAGUAUGGUUUCAUUGUACACUUCAGAUGAUGUAAUUGCAAAUUCCUAAUUUAAUUUGUUUUAUUUAAGUUUAA
Daucus carota subsp. sativus is the source of this 1391-nucleotide long non-coding RNA. RefSeq lists it as uncharacterized. The transcript has 7 exons. NCBI's taxonomy places the organism in Eukaryota, Viridiplantae, Streptophyta, Magnoliopsida, Apiales, Apiaceae. The record is from RefSeq and is a predicted model, not a curated record.